UAGUCCACGCCGUAAACGAUGGUCACUAGCUGUUCGUCCGCUUGCGGAUGAGUGGCUAAGCGAAAGUGAUAAGUGACCCACCUGGGGAGUACGUUCGCAAGAAUGAAACUCAAAGGAAUUGACGGGGGCCCGCACAAGCGGUGGAGCAUGUGGUUUAAUUCGAUGAUACGCGAGGAACCUUACCAGGGCUUAAAUGUAAGUUGCAUUAGCUGGAGACAGCUAUUUCUUCGGACCACUUACAAGGUGCUGCAUGGUUGUCGUCAGCUCGUGCCGUGAGGUGUCAGGUUAAGUCCUAUAACGAGCGCAACCCCUGUUGUUAGUUGCCAGCAUGUAAAGAUGGGAACUCUAACAAGACUGCCGGUGCAAACCGUGAGGAAGGUGGGGAUGACGUCAAAUCAUCACGGCCCUUACGUCCUGGGGCUACACACGUGCUACAAUGGUAGGGGACAGAGAGCAGCCACUUCGCGAGAAGGGAGCGAAUCUAUAAA
RNAcentral lists this ribosomal RNA (488 nucleotides) under uncultured bacterium. RNAcentral's name for it is "bacterial SSU rRNA". It matches the Rfam family "Bacterial small subunit ribosomal RNA", at positions 791 to 1279 of the family's 1533-position model. The record is from RNAcentral.